UACGGAGAGUGCAAACGUUGUUCGGAUUCACUGGGCGUAAAGGGCACGUAGGCGGCUCGGCAAAUCGGUCGUGGAAUCUCGACGCUUACCGUCGAAACGGCGGCCGAAAAUACCGGGCUCGAGGGCGUGAGGGGUCACUGGAACUCCUGGUGAAGCGGUGAAAUGCGUAGAUAUCAGGAGGAACGCCGGAGGCGAAAGCGAGUGACUGGCGCAUUCCUGACGCUGAGGUGCGAAAGCUAGGGGAGCAAACAGG
Molecule: ribosomal RNA, 253 nt
Filed under: uncultured bacterium
Lineage: Bacteria
Description: partial 16S ribosomal RNA
Rfam family: Bacterial small subunit ribosomal RNA
Source: RNAcentral